CAAUAGCGUAUAUUUAAGUUGUUGCAGUUAAAAAGCUCGUAGUUGGAUUUCGGGUAGGAUUUGCCGGUCCGUCUUUGAGAUGUGUACUGGUAAGUCCUAUCUUCUUGUCGGGGACCAGCUCCUGGGCUUCACUGUCCGGGACUGGGAGCCGACGAAGUUACUUUGAGUAAAUUAGAGUGUUCAAAGCAAGCCUACGCUCUGAAUAUAUUAGCAUGGAAUAACACGAUAGGACUCUGGCUUAUCUUGUUGGUCUGUGAGACCAGAGUAAUGAUUAAGAGGGACAGUCGGGGACAUUCGUAUUUCAUUGUCAGAGGUGAAAUUCUUGGAUUUAUGAGAGACGAACUUCUGCGAAAGCAUUUGUCAAGGAUGUUUUCAUUAA
RNAcentral lists this ribosomal RNA (379 nucleotides) under uncultured eukaryote. Its description in RNAcentral is "partial 18S ribosomal RNA". It matches the Rfam family "Eukaryotic small subunit ribosomal RNA", at positions 592 to 976 of the family's 1831-position model. The record is from RNAcentral.